Molecule: non-coding RNA, 511 nt
Organism: Erythranthe guttata (spotted monkey flower)
Lineage: Eukaryota; Viridiplantae; Streptophyta; Magnoliopsida; Lamiales; Phrymaceae
Source: RefSeq, a predicted model, not a curated record
CGUACAAACAGGUAUAUCAAUUCACGAUUAACCCAAUUCCCUCGUUUGAUGAGGACUUUGACUUGUACGAUGCGUGUAAUGCUCCGCCCGAUGUCUUUGUUAAUGCACCUGAUUCGAGAACUCGACCGGGACGUAGAAAGACAAAAAGAAUUCCUUCACAAGUGCAAACUCGUAAACUGAAGUGUACUCGGUGUGGGAAGCCUGGACACAAUCGUCGUACUUGCACACAACCAAUCUGACUAGCAAUUUUUUUUAAUGGAGGACAAGAUGGAGGAGAGCUUACAUGAUUGCCCAUUAUGUUAUUCAAGUGAUUGAAGUGAAUGAAAACUGGCUGUUUGUACUUUAUUAUUAUGUGAUUUGCACUAUGUUGUUUUGAACUUUGUGCUAUGUUUCAAUUUGCACUAUGUUUUUGCUAUUUGUAGUUUGUACUAUGUAUUAGGUACUCUGUUCAUUGAUGGUUUAUCAUUUUCAGUCUAAUGGUACUAUUUUUAUUUACACAUGGUAUUGGAUA